Molecule: ribosomal RNA, 424 nt
Filed under: uncultured bacterium
Lineage: Bacteria
Description: bacterial SSU rRNA
Rfam family: Bacterial small subunit ribosomal RNA
Source: RNAcentral
GGAAUCUUGGGCAAUGGGCGCAAGCCUGACCCAGCGACGCCGCGUGAGGGAUGAAGGCCUUCGGGUCGUAAACCUCUGUCAGGAGGGAAGAACGGCAGUGGGGUGAACAAUCCCGUUGUCUGACGGUACCCCCGAAGGAAGCGCCGGCUAACUCCGUGCCCGCAGCCGCGGUAAUACGGAGGGCGCAAGCGUUGUUCGGAAUCACUGGGCGUAAAGCGCGUGUAGGCGGCCUGGCAAGUCGGGUGUGAAAUCCCGAGGCUCAACCUCGGAACUGCACUCGAAACUGCUUGGCUCGAGUCCCGGAGAGGGUGGCGGAAUUCCCGGUGUAGGGGUGAAGUCCGUAGAUAUCGGGAGGAACACCAGUGGCGAAGGCGGCCACCUGGACGGUGACUGACGCUGAGACGCGAAAGCGUGGGGAGCAAAC